GCCAGCAUGGUGUAGUGGUUUGAACAUUGGACUACAACUCUGGAGAUCAGGGUUCAAAUCUCUGUUCAGCCA
Molecule: non-coding RNA, 72 nt
Organism: Phrynosoma platyrhinos (Desert horned lizard)
Lineage: Eukaryota; Metazoa; Chordata; Lepidosauria; Squamata; Phrynosomatidae
Source: the annotation of a GenBank genome assembly